UACAGAGGUCCCAAGCGUUGUUCGGAUUCACUGGGCGUAAAGGGUGCGUAGGUGGUUGGGCAAGUCUGAUGUGAAAUCUCCGGGCUUAACCCGGAAAUGGCAUUGGAAACUGCCCGGCUAGAGUGUUGGAGGGGGGACUGGAAUUCUCGGUGUAGCAGUGAAAUGCGUAGAGAUCCGGAAGAACACCGGUGGCGAAGGCGGCCUGCUGGGCGGCGACUGACGCUGAGGCGCGACAGCGUGGGGAGCAAACAGG
RNAcentral lists this ribosomal RNA (253 nucleotides) under uncultured bacterium. RNAcentral's name for it is "partial 16S ribosomal RNA". It matches the Rfam family "Bacterial small subunit ribosomal RNA", at positions 524 to 776 of the family's 1533-position model. The record is from RNAcentral.